Molecule: long non-coding RNA, 2368 nt
Filed under: Homo sapiens (human)
Lineage: Eukaryota; Metazoa; Chordata; Mammalia; Primates; Hominidae
Description: HSALNT0326896
Source: RNAcentral
ACGAUGGUCAAGAAAGUCUCUGAUUAAGUGUCAUUUGAGCAGAGAAUGUGCUAGGAAGCUCUAUGGAGGAACAGCAUUCCAGGGAGAUGGAAUCACAAAUGCAAAGAUUCCGAGGUGGAAGCAUGCUUGCUUUGUUCCGGGAACACAAGGAAGUCAGUGUGUCUAGAGGGGUGCACAGGGAGUGGCACGGCAAAGGGAAUUGCCCCUCAGGAGCAGAGGGUUAUGUCAGAGGGGAGGCGCGAACCAGGUCGCAUAGCACAUUCUAGGAUGUAAUGAGUGUGGAUUCUAUGUUGCCAUGGGAAGCCAGCAUCCUUGCACGAGGUGGUUAAGUGCUGAGAGAAGAUAAAUCAGAUUAAGGGGCUAGAGAGAGACUGGAAGCCUGGGGAAGCUAUUUGAAACAAACGGGCAGAGGAGCUCUCUCUGAGGAAGUGACUUUAGGGCUGAGUCUUGAAAUAUCUGAAGUAGCGACCAUGCAGAUUUCUGGGAUAAGCCAGUUCCAGGCAGAAAAAAUAGCACUGAAGUGGGAAUAAGCAUCACAUAUCCUGGAAAGAGCAAGAAGGUCAGCGUGGCCAGGGCACAAUACCAGAGGAAGCAGGGGGAGGAGGCCAGCCCUGUGGAGGCCGUGGGACGGUACUUGGCUUUUAUUCUAAAUACACUGGGAAGAUUUUCGAGGACUCUUGCUUGUUUUUCGAGGGAACUGGCUGAAAACCCAGUAGAUUUUGGUGGCUGUUCUUGACUAAGAAGAGUGUGGAACAAAGUCACAGAGCCACGGCCCCAGACAAGACCUGGAUGAAGCGCUACAGCCUGGUAGUGCCAAGACUGGGAGGGAAACAGAAGAGCACUAUGAGACAGAAUCCAGAAGCAAGGAGAGGAAGGAAAGGCCUUGGACCCCCUAAGGAGAAGGAGGGUAAACACACAGGAGCAGGAUUGCUGGGUCAUAUGAAUGCACAUUUUUCCCCCUGGAUUGCAAAUAAUCUGAACCAGGGUAAAACCAUUACAAAGUGGCCUUCAAACAUCAUGUCUGUAUUGGAACUGAAUGAUUGAUCAGACAUUUAAAUACGGAAACUGGGAAUUCAGCUGACCAGAAUUUCACCAGGGUGACAUGACAGUUUGUUGCUAAGGAACUGAAGACUAUGUCAUAAGUGAGCAUUCUGAUGAAGAGGAGUGAACAGUUUGCAGCAGAUUGGAUAUUAAGUAUAAAUCAGCUCUCUGUGUAUGUCCUUGUGUGGUGGUAUAACUGACAACAGGUAGGGUUCCUGAUGGGAUUGGGUUCCACCAAUCAGAGCCACUUGCAUGAGACCUCAACUGAGAGCCAGGUGUUUGAAGAGGAGGGGCUCACUCUAAAUCUUGAAGAUGUUCAGCCUCGAAAAAGUAGAAGUCAUUGUGACCAAAGAUGAUGCCACCAUGCCUUUGAAAAAGAAAGGUGAUGAGCCUCAAAUGGAAAAAUACAUUCAAGAAAGGUCAAUGCUAAGAAAUAAAGAGAAAGAUGAAGAAAGGAUCACAUAAAGCUGAUGGGAAGAGAAUAAGGUGGACAUAGUAAGACAUCUGAGGCUGAAAAGGGAGGAAGUAGCAAGUGCACAGGAUGGAGCAGAGCAUGGGAAGAGCAUGGACCCAGCCCUGUGCCCCUAGGCUGGGUCAGCUCGGGGCUUCCAUUUCCUCCUCUGUAAAAUAUCUGCCUUUCAGGAUUAGUAAAAGGAUUAAAUAAAAUAAUAACCUCGUACAGAUCCUGGAAAUUUUUUCCAUGGCUCCUUCACUCACUUUUUUUUAUUUUUUUUAAUUUUACAGACAGGGACUCACUCUGUUGCCCAGGCUGAAAUGUAGUGGCAACAUCAUAGCUCACUAUCACCCUGAACUCCUGGACUCAAGGGAUCCUCCUGCCUCAGCUUCCCAAGUAGCUAGGACUACAGGCGUGCACCAUCAUGUCCAGCUAACUUUUUAAAAAAAAUCUUUUGGAGAGACAGAGUCUCAGUAUGUUGCCCAAGAUCUCAAGCUCCGGGGCUCAAGUGAUCCUCCUGCCUCCACCUCCCAAAGUGCUGGGAUUACAGGUGUGAGCCACCGCACCUGGCUCUUCACUCACUUUGUUCAGAUCUCCACUCAGUUGCCACAACCUCCCUGGCUGCUCCAGCUGAAAUAGCACAGCCCCAUCUCCAUCCCUCUCUAAUCCCAUACCCAACUCCAGUCGGCCUACUUUCCUUUGUUCACUCUGCAUUCUCAAGGCCUAGAAGAGUUCCUGGCAUGCAGUGGGUACUCAGGAAUAUGAGCGGAGUGUGGCAGGGCGUUGUCGCUGAACACCAGCAUCCUGCAUCCUGGGCAGGCUGUCUUCAGUGCGGGUGUUCCAGAUAGCUUGGGGAGCCUGCUUAGGACAUAG